AACGAACGCUGGCGGCAUGCCUAACACAUGCAAGUCGAACGAUCCCUUCGGGGUUAGUGGCGCACGGGUGCGUAACGCGUGGGAACCUGCCCUUAGGUUCGGAAUAACUCAGAGAAAUUUGAGCUAAUACCGGAUAAUGUCUUCGGACCAAAGAUUUAUCGCCUUUGGAUGGGCCCGCGUUGGAUUAGCUAGUUGGUGGGGUAAAGGCCUACCAAGGCGACGAUCCAUAGCUGGUCUGAGAGGAUGAUCAGCCACACUGGGACUGAGACACGGCCCAGACUCCUACGGGAAGCAGCAGUGGGGAAUAUUGGACAAUGGGCGAAAGCCUGAUCCAGCAAUGCCGCGUGAGUGAUGAAGGCCUUAGGGUUGUAAAGCUCUUUUACCCGGGAUGAUAAUGACAGUACCGGGAGAAUAAGCCCCGGCUAACUCCGUG
This 433-nucleotide ribosomal RNA is filed under the name uncultured bacterium. RNAcentral describes it as "partial 16S ribosomal RNA". It matches the Rfam family "Bacterial small subunit ribosomal RNA", at positions 29 to 507 of the family's 1533-position model. The record is from RNAcentral.